RNAcentral lists this small nucleolar RNA (107 nucleotides) under Gossypium hirsutum (cotton). RNAcentral describes it as "Plant small nucleolar RNA R71". It matches the Rfam family "Plant small nucleolar RNA R71". Rfam says of the family: R71 is a member of the C/D box family of snoRNAs containing the C (UGAUGA) and D (CUGA) box motifs. Multiple nearly identical copies of this snoRNA have been identified in Arabidopsis, and it is thought to function as a 2'-O-ribose methylation guide for 18S ribosomal RNA. The record is from Rfam by way of RNAcentral. Lineage: Eukaryota; Viridiplantae; Streptophyta; Magnoliopsida; Malvales; Malvaceae. RNAcentral also lists the same sequence under 1 other name.
AACCCAUGGUGAGGACACCUUCUCAAUAGGUCCUUGUAUCUCUCCCACGCAUCAUAGAGUGUCUCUAAAUCCAUCUGCACAAAAGAAGAGAUAUCGUUCCUCAAUUU